CGACGACCCAACCGAACCGGACUCUCUCAACUCAUUUGGUCGACUUUUCUCCUUCACUUCCACCGGCCACCUCCUCUUCAUCAUCGUCAUCAUCAUCAUCAUCUUCCUCUCUCUCUUCAAUCCACCCUCCGAAUUUUGUGAUUGGGAGGGAGAGAGAAUGUCAGGAGGUGGUACGCAGAAAAGCUUAAGGAAAGCACUUGGGGCCCUUAAGGACACAACCACU
RNAcentral lists this unclassified non-coding RNA (223 nucleotides) under Hevea brasiliensis (rubber tree). Lineage: Eukaryota; Viridiplantae; Streptophyta; Magnoliopsida; Malpighiales; Euphorbiaceae. The record is from RNAcentral.